AAUAGAUACCCGGGUAGUCCACGCCGUAAACGAUGAGUGCUAAGUGUUAGAGGGUUUCCGCCCUUUAGUACUGCAGCUAACGCAUUAAGCACUCCGCCUGGGGAGUACAGUCGCAAGACUGAAACUCAAAGGAAUUGACGGGGGGCCCGCACAAGCGGUGGAGCAUGUGGUUUAAUUCGAAGCAACGCGAAGAACCUUACCAGGUCUUGACAUCCCACUGACCGGUAUAGAGAUAUACCUUUCCCUUCGGGGACAGUGGUGACAGGUGGUGCAUGGUUGUCGUCAGCUCGUGUCGUGAGAUGUUGGGUUAAGUCCCGCAACGAGCGCAACCCUUGAUCUUAGUUGCCAGCAUUUAGUUGGGCACUCUAAGGUGACUGCCGGUGACAAACCGGAGGAAGGUGGGGAUGACGUCAAAUCAUCAUGCCCCUUAUGACCUGGGCUACACACGUGCUACAAUGGAUGGUACAAAGGGCUGCAAGACUGCGAAGUCAAGCCAAUCCCAUAAAACCAUUCUCAGUUCGGAUUGCAGG
RNAcentral lists this ribosomal RNA (530 nucleotides) under uncultured bacterium. Its description in RNAcentral is "bacterial SSU rRNA". It matches the Rfam family "Bacterial small subunit ribosomal RNA", at positions 777 to 1304 of the family's 1533-position model. The record is from RNAcentral.